Molecule: long non-coding RNA, 1101 nt
Organism: Monodelphis domestica (gray short-tailed opossum)
Lineage: Eukaryota; Metazoa; Chordata; Mammalia; Didelphimorphia; Didelphidae
Source: RefSeq, a predicted model, not a curated record
AGCUGUAACAGCAUCCUUAAGGUGUCCCACUCCUUUGGGCACAACAUGACUUCUCCCAAUCGUGCCCUGGAUGAAUAAGUCCCAAAUCCGGAAUUUUCCUGCCUGUGUCCAAACAUAACUGCAGAUCUAGAAAAGGGUCAAAUGGCUGAGAAUCGUACAGUAAAGCAAGUCCAGAUUGGGUGCUCCAGAAGCCCUUUACAAGUGACAGAAUCACUGGGAAGAGGUAAGGCAAUUCAUGAAUGAUUCAGUAGCGAGCGCUCCCCAGAUUCGUCUUAUUUUUCAUAAAACAAAUCCAGUGAAGCUUCGGUGCGUUUUUAGCCUUUGAUAACAGAAGAGAAUAUGGGUUAAGAACCUGACGUGGCAUCAGAGGGCUAUAAAGUGUGCAAUUAAACGUGGCAUCUGGAGGAAGGAUGGGGCCCAAGGCACGGCUCUUUGUUUGCCUUGAAGAACGUGAAUGUGUCUUCUUUAUUGAAAGCGGAGAGCAUAACGGGAGAGCAAAGUGACAGCAUCCCCCAUCUGGAAAUAUUUGUGUGAGUGUCAGGCAAAUAACGGAUGAGGCCGCCACGGCUCGCUCUCGGCUUUUCGGAAGAUGGACAGAGUUGUGUUUGGUGCAUUGCACCUUGUGGAAUUGGAGCCAACUUACAGAAAACUGCUCUGGCAUCUGUCUUGUUUUAAGCUGAUUGUCAACAGGAGCCGCUAGUAGCAGUAGAGAAGGGGGGUGGCGAGAAGCGGGCAGGGAAACAUGGCGAGCCUGUUUUCAAGCCUCGCGAUAAACUAUGGCUUAGAACGUUGACAGCUCCAGAACUUGACAGUUGCCUCCCCUCCUAGGGGACUUCUCAUGCCACACUCUACAGUCCGAUCACGCUGCUGAGCUGCGACGCCCAGGCACUGCCUGACCUGACAUAAUGGGCCGCUAUUUACUGCAAACAAGGCUGAGCCCGUGCCUUUCCCCCCUUAGGACUACAGCACGAAGGUCUGCCUCUCAGAAAUGGCUUCUCUUCUGAUCUUCCCCUCCCAUCCCCGCCCAAGAUCAAUACCGCGGGUUAGAGAAGCAAAUGCAGGACAAUAAAUAAAGAAGAAAACUCACGUUGUAGACCACGA